UCUCCGUAGGUGAACCUGCGGAGGGAUCAUUACAAGUGACCCCGGUCUUACCACCGGGAUGUUCAUAACCCUUCGUUGUCCGACUCUGUUGCCUCCGGGGCGACCCUGCCUUCGGGCGGGGGCUCCGGGUGGACACUUCAAACUCUUGCGUAACUUUGCAGUCUGAGUAAACUUAAUUAAUAAAUUAAAACUUUUAACAACGGAUCUCUUGGUUCUG
Molecule: unclassified non-coding RNA, 217 nt
Filed under: plant metagenome
Description: partial contains small subunit ribosomal RNA, internal transcribed spacer 1, and 5.8S ribosomal RNA
Source: RNAcentral